AGAACGAACGCUGGCGGCAUGCCUAACACAUGCAAGUCGAACGAGACCUUCGGGUCUAGUGGCGCACGGGUGCGUAACGCGUGGGAAUCUGCCCUUGGGUUCGGGAUAACAGUUGGAAACGACUGCUAAUACCGGAUGAUGACUUCGGUCCAAAGAUUUAUCGCCCAGGGAUGAGCCCGCGUAGGAUUAGCUUGUUGGUGAGGUAAGAGCUCACCAAGGCGACGAUCCUUAAGCUGGUCUGAGAGGAUGAUCAGCCACA
Molecule: ribosomal RNA, 259 nt
Filed under: uncultured soil bacterium
Lineage: Bacteria
Description: partial 16S ribosomal RNA
Rfam family: Bacterial small subunit ribosomal RNA
Source: RNAcentral